Molecule: long non-coding RNA, 593 nt
Organism: Brassica oleracea var. oleracea
Lineage: Eukaryota; Viridiplantae; Streptophyta; Magnoliopsida; Brassicales; Brassicaceae
Exons: 3
Source: RefSeq, a predicted model, not a curated record
CCUCUGCGAUCAGAAAACUGAUCUGAAAAGCUACCUGUGACAAGUUGUUGAAUCACUUGUAGUCAUGUUCCUUGUCUCAUCUUUCCUGUGUGACUUCAAGCACCAAACCAGAAACGAAUCUCUCUCAGCUCUUUUUUUUUUUUCGAAAAUCUCUCGACGGUGAUGACGUCUCGCCGACGAAUCCUUCCGUCUCCGGCGAGUCCCGUUUCUUCACCCUCUCUCACCUUGAUUCUUCACAACGACAACCUUUGCAUCUCCAAUGAAGAUGACCUCUGACCAGAACCUGUCUCAUCCGGUGAACUGUGAAUUGUUGUUUCUCCUACCUUCACAUCGAUCCUUGUCUUUAAUCCCCUCCAUGGAUAGCGAUUCAAUCUUCUCAAAUCUCAAGCUCAUUCCUUUACCAAAUUAGACCAUUCCAAUCGCAACACCAACAUCUGCAUUGUGCUAGACCAUUCAUCUCCAAAGAAGCUCGCAAGUUCUUCUUGGUGACUAGCAAUCUAUUUUUCCAUGUUGGUGUUGAUAAACUCAAUCCAUGUUACCGGCCGUACUGCAGCUUUCCGUUCUUCUUGCGUUUCCAGUGACCCUUUGGAGAC